GUUCCUCGCGGCCUUGCAGGUGCUCAGGCCGGGAGCAGGCCUGUGCUGUCAUCGAGGGGCGCCCCUAGGUGCGGUGGGACUAACUCCACCUCCGCCGGGGUCGAGGGUCAAGGGUGGGGGCUAGGGCCAACCCACUGAGAAGCAGCACAAGGACGCUGCAGUGAAGGGGAAAAGGGAGUCGGCCGCGCGGGAUCCCAAGCUAACGCCAGGUAAGCCACGCACCGCCCCCGCCUCACCCCACCACCUCCCGACGACGACGCUUAGGGUCAGGCCUGCGGAAAGCGGGACCAACAGAACCUAAUGUCCCAACCCGGGGACACCCAAACAGACGGGAUGUGAGUGCAAAGGAGCGGUUGUGAGUGGAGAAACCGUUUCUGUCCUCGCUUGCCCGAGUUCGCGGUGUGGGACGCUGGCGCCGGCCCCAUUAGACAGUCACGCGCGCCGGGCUAGCGCAGGGAGGCCGCGACGCGUGCGUGCACUCCGCCAGGGUGUCCCUGGCUCACGGGGGUUGCAGCUGGCAUUUGAGGUCAAGGCAACGAACUCAUGGCUGUGACCAGCCCUGCCCCGUGUCCUGGGCCUAUGCGGGAGCCUCUGUGCCAAGCAGUCUUUCCCAUCGACCUGACAGUGGGCUGUGCCCCGGUCGCCACCAGGGCACAUCCAGUGGGAGUGGGGUGACCCAGGCUCUCACCACCUGUGCGCCCAGGUGGCCGUCAGGGACCUUGUGGAACGUAACGCUUAUGCCGUGCCGGUUAGUGGCCGUUUGGCUUUAGACCGAUACUUCACAUCUGAACCCGUUUGCUCUCCUGCAAAAUGGAAAUAAUGCCUACUUCACUGGGUCACUGCCGCGUAAAUGAAGAUGAUGCACGAAGAGCCCAUCCAGCGCCGUGCCUGGCACAUAGCAAAGGCGCCAUACGCCAGCGUGGCGGAAGUGAUUUGUCGCUGGGCAGCCCUUGACCACAUCCUCCCACCUCCCUCUUCCAGGCUCUCCGUGUCUUCUAAUUCUGUUUGAUUAAAAUCACCUUGCCAAGAAGGGCCGUUCAAGUUUCCAGGUGGAACUGUUACUUAACUUUUUC
Molecule: long non-coding RNA, 1073 nt
Filed under: Homo sapiens (human)
Lineage: Eukaryota; Metazoa; Chordata; Mammalia; Primates; Hominidae
Description: non-protein coding CELF2-AS1:5
Source: RNAcentral